AAACGACUCUCGGCAACGGAUAUCUCGGCUCUCGCAUCGAUGAAGAACGUAGCGAAAUGCGAUACUUGGUGUGAAUUGCAGAAUCCCGUGAACCAUCGAGUCUUUGAACGCAAGUUGCGCCCGAAGCCUUUUUAGGCCGAGGGCACGUCUGCCUGGGCGUCACAC
This 165-nucleotide ribosomal RNA is filed under the name Scutia eberhardtii. RNAcentral describes it as "5.8S ribosomal RNA". It matches the Rfam family "5.8S ribosomal RNA". Rfam says of the family: 5.8S ribosomal RNA (5.8S rRNA) is a component of the large subunit of the eukaryotic ribosome. It is transcribed by RNA polymerase I as part of the 45S precursor that also contains 18S and 28S rRNA. Lineage: Eukaryota; Viridiplantae; Streptophyta; Magnoliopsida; Rosales; Rhamnaceae. The record is from RNAcentral.